Molecule: ribosomal RNA, 1625 nt
Filed under: Phalaenopsis equestris
Lineage: Eukaryota; Viridiplantae; Streptophyta; Magnoliopsida; Asparagales; Orchidaceae
Description: SSU rRNA
Rfam family: Eukaryotic small subunit ribosomal RNA
Source: RNAcentral
CCUAGUUGAUCCUGCCAGUAGUCAUAUGAUUGUCUCAAAGAUUAAACCAUGCAUGUGUAAGUAUGAAUUAUUUCAGACUAUGAAACUGUGAAUGAGUCAUUAAAUCAGUUACAGUUUAUUUGAUGGUACGUGCCACUCGAAUAACCGUAGCAAUUCUAGAGCUAAUACGUGCACCAAACCCCCGACUUCUGAAAGGGAUGCAUUUAUUAGGUAAAAGUUCGAUGCGGGCUUUUGCCCGUUUCCCUGAUGAUUCAUGAUAACUUGUCGGAUCGCAUGGCCCUUGUGCCGGUGACGCGUCAUUUGAAUAUCUACCCUAUCAACUUUUGAUGCUAGUAUAAGGGCCUAUCAUGGUGGUGACAAGUGAUGGAGAAUCAGGGUUCGAUUCUAGAGAGGGAGCCAGAGAGACGACAACCACAUCCAAGGAAGGUAGCAGGCACGCAAAUUACCCAAUCCUGACACGGGGAGGUAGUGACACUAAAUAACAAUGCCGGGCUCUUUGAAAUUGGUAAUUGGAGUGAGUACAAUCUAAACCUCUUAACAAAAAUCCAUUGGAGGGCAAGUCUGGUGUCAGUAGUCGCGAUAAUUCCAGCUCAAAUAGCGUAUAUUUAAGUUGUUGCAGUUAAAAAGCUUGUAGUUGGACCUUCAGUUAGGUCGGUCGGUCUGCCUCAUGGUGUGCACCACCCGUCUCAUCCCUUAUGCCGGUGAUGAGUUUCUGACCUUAAUUGGCUAGGUCGUGCCUUCAGCACCGUUACUUUGAAGAAAUUAGAGUGCUCAAAGUAAGCCCACACUCUAGAUACAUUAGCAUGUGAUAACACCACAGGAUUUCGGUCCUAUUGUGUUGGCCUUCGAGAUCGGAGUAAUGAUUAAGAGGGAUGGUCGGGGGCAUUCAUAUUUCAUAGUCAGAGGUGAAAUUCCUGAAUUUAUGAAAGACGAACCACUGUGAAAGCAUUUGCCAAGGAUGUUUUCAUUAAUCAAGAAUGAAAGUUGGGGGCUUGAAGACGAUCAGAUACCGUCCUCGUCUCAACCAUAAACGAUGCCGACCAGGGAUUGACAGAUGUUGCUUUUAGGACUCCGUCGGCACCUUGUGAGAAAUAAAAGUUUUAGGGUUCCAGUGGGAGUAUGGUCGCAAGGCUGAAACUUAGAGGAAUUGACGGAAGGGCACCACCAGGAGUGGAGCCCGCGGCUUAAUUUGACUCAACACAGGAAAUCUUACUAGGUCCAGACAUAGUAAGGAUUGACAGACUGAGAGCUACAGGGAGAUUGGACCAAACCAUAGGGCAAAAAAUGGAAUAAAGCAGAGUUGGGAUGUGUUUUUACCUCUCCAAAGCUCCAAUAUAGAGUAGACAAUCAUGAUAGAAGGGUGAUUUUGAAAUUUAUAAUUUGCUGCUGAAGCUAAGAAAAGGAGUUUCUCCCAUACCAACCUUCACAUUUUAACGCCCAAACAAACAAUGUUAAUAACUGACCACUCAAUUGGUACGUAUUUACAAAACUAACACUUAUAUUUCAGUUCUUACAUAUUUACCACUUAUAGUUGAAAAAAGAGUCUCGUUUUUCAAUGUUUAAAUCUUUUUAGAAUUUAAAAUGAUGAUAUUUUUAUGUUAUAUGAAAUAUAUGAAUGAUAUAAA